UGACCAAGGGGUCGGGACGUUCUGCCUGUUUCAGGGGCGGAGUGACCUACGGGUACAGGGAGGUGCUUGCGCAAGGGCCGGGUCAGGAGAAGC
RNAcentral lists this non-coding RNA (93 nucleotides) under Pseudomonas sp. GM55. RNAcentral's name for it is "ivy-DE RNA". It matches the Rfam family "ivy-DE RNA". The record is from RNAcentral. Lineage: Bacteria; Pseudomonadati; Pseudomonadota; Gammaproteobacteria; Pseudomonadales; Pseudomonadaceae.